ACUCCUAAAUAAACAAAUUCUCAAUGAAGGUAAAUAGAAACCACGCACGAGCCCUCUGAAGAUAGAAACCACUCGAAUCCUCCUCACACUGUGAAAUGCUGUAAACCCUAUCUCGCUCCUCCUCAGACCUCAAUCAUCUCUUGGUUCGCCUUCAGAUUCAAAUUCUCGAGUUCAUUCUCCACUUCGAUCUGAAUUAUCACUGCUCGUUGUUGCUGCCUCUGCUUGUCGCAUUAGCUAUCGCCAUCGUUACUGUCGAUGUGCAGGCUUCUUUUGCCAUGGAUGGGACUCUGCUACUUGCUUCACUUUCCAUAGCCAAAGCACUUCUUGAGGUUGAUUUUGUUCCAAAUUUUGACAAUUCAUAGAAGGAACCAUCACUUCUUCCCUCUCGACUUCCAAUGUUAUUAUUGAAUGGUUGGCAUGGCGACUAAUAUCCCUCCUCAUAAUCUUGGGGAACUAGUAGAUGUGCUGUGCAUGUUGAUACACAAGCCAGAAGCUACUCUGCAAGAAUUGCUUGAAUACAUGCCUAGACCAGACUUUCCUAUAGGAGGACUGAUUAUGGGAAACCUUGGUGUUCAGUUAAAAGUCAACAAAAACUAUCAGCUGUCACAGUAAUAAAACUUACACAAACAGCUUUCUGUGACACCCACUUAGCAAUACAAGUGCAAGCGAGGCAGCAAAGUCUGGGAUACCAUUGGAUAUAUACCUACCAAGGCAGUCAAGUGUGCAUAAAAAUAAUUAUUUUCUACAUUUUUUCCUUUAAUAUUGAGUGUUUCUUGUU
Arachis ipaensis is the source of this 778-nucleotide non-coding RNA. Lineage: Eukaryota; Viridiplantae; Streptophyta; Magnoliopsida; Fabales; Fabaceae. The record is from RefSeq and is a predicted model, not a curated record.